CCCCAGGACCACACAGGAGUCUCCAACCAGCCCUAGUGGGUCCCUGGGCUGAGACUUAAAAUUGAGUCUCAGCCCUAGGACCACUCUGGAGUCUUGAACUGGUUCUGGUGACAGCCCAGGGCUGCAAACAGAUAACAGCUACUUAUAACGAAUUCUGUCUCCAAAAUCAACUGAUUUUUGGUCUCAGUUCUGGGAUGUCACCAGAGCCAGGUCAAGACUCCAGUAUGAUUGCAUUGGAACUGGUUAAACAUUAAUGUGUGACUGCUCAGAAUGUCACAACCAAAUUAAGUAGUGCCCAUGUCUCAAACAAGUAAUAACCAUUUAAAACAGUUUUUUCUGCACUAGGUUAACUAAGGGUUAACAAUAAUGAUAGUAACCGCUUUUUUCUGCGCAUGUCAAAAAGAAAUUUAUUGCUGCGCCACUAACAGAGAUAAAAACUUUUGCCUCCUUUGCUUUAUAUAAAUCAUUAUAAUUGGUCAAAGAAAACAAGGAGUAACCCUGUGAAAAUAACACCCUAGCGAAGACCGCUAGAUAAUUGGCGAUUCUAAUUAGAUUUAUGACGUGGCGAAAAACAAUUGGCUAUCAUACAAACAAAACCCGCUUACAUUUUUCGCAAAGUGGAAGACAACUCUGCCCACACCUUGGAGUAAAUCUGACAAUUUGAUCAGUUGUCAGCGUCUUCCCGCCGUGACCUCCCUGGCGUACCCUUGCCCCGCAUGCCCGAUAAGCCGACCGCCGGCCCAUAUAUAUAUAUCUGCAGAAUAACUGAACGACGAUCUCUAAGCUGUAACUAACUAAGUAUCUCUGACCUCCGUCUUACACCACCUUGACACUUCAUAACUACUGAGGAAACAGAAGUUAAGAUGAGAACAGGGGAAAAUGUUUGUUUGCAUCACUCUGCGGGAGCUUGCUAUUAAGUCUCACUUUAGCGGUAUGCUAUUCACACCACAUUAAGUAUGAAGGUCACAUAUGAGUCUCUUGCGGGGUGUCCUUGCUGAAGCAAAACCAUCUUGUUGGUGUGCACCUCACAGCUGCGUAGUAGUUCAGCAUCGGCAUUCAGAUAAAUCUAUUUCAAGUCUCUACAUUCUGGAAGAGGGAUGGUGGCGAAUAGCGGACUGUCUCAUCUCUAGCAGAGACUGAUGCUUCGCAUGGGUCAGCUGUUUGACCAAGAAGGCAGCAGCUUAUUUCUUUGUUUGGAUAAGAUCAGGGCCUUAGCUAGAAAUGUGACAUUGUUACACACACUGACUCCCACCUUCUCACAUAUAGCCAUAAUUUACCAUGACAGAUGGGCCAUUGCACACACAAUAUGAUCACCAGUGCCAUGAUCGUACAUCACUAUGUGACACCACGCACAGAAAGGGUGCCAAUAGAGACAGAGACAUCUAACAGUGUGUUAAUAAGUUUGGCUGAAUGGAGGCGACACUCGCUUAUUCCUAAGAUGAUUUUUAGAGCUGUGUGAAACAUAGGGGGCUUAGAUUGCUCCUAUCCUGAAAAUCAAUCGGUGUAUUUAGAGUGGGAGUUUCAAAGGUACCUAGAUCAUUUUAAAGCAUGUUUCCCUUCCUAGAAAUCCAAUUAACUUUAAAUGGGACAUUUACUGUGAAAACAUCAUACAUUUUAAAAUAUUUUUACAUGAUUUUUUGUGUUACUUAGGACACGUAGACUGACCAGCUCAACAGCUACACAAGAAAUAGUCUGGGUGUCAGGGGCCCCAAUGGGCAGCCCAACCUGGGCUAAUUGUCUGAGGCUUGGACUGGCAGCCCUACCCCAGCUAAUGAUUCCAGAUGCCAUGGAUAGGGCCUCUUGAUUGGCAGCUGGGGAGGGCAGCCUUCCUAUUUAGUUCCAUCUAUGGCAGCAGGUUAGCCAACAGUUCCUUUGAAGGUGUGCUCUAGUAAGCCGCUCUGAAUCUUGCAUUUCUGGUUUCUGACCCCCUGUUUGGCCUGGACUCUGGUUUUUGGAUUUCCCUUGGGAUCUGGUACCUUGGUAUCUUGCUCCUGAACCUUGACUUGCCUUGUGUUUUGGACCUUGCCUCUGGAUUCCCCCCCUUGGAUCACUAGUGUGGUCUCAGAUUUCUGACCCUUGUCUCAGCUGGUGUUUUGGGCUUUGCCCCUUGCUCUUGCAUUACCCCCAUGGCCUAAUAAUUGAGCUAGACUGCCCUCGCUUCCCAUCCUUACAGUAGACUGGUGAAAAUGACUGGAAUAUUUCCUCCUAUGUACGUGCACACACAUGCAUGCAUUUUUGGUUGCAGAAAUGUCAGAGAAAAUGUGUAUCAACACGUCAACCUUGUUAACCAAGGCUGAAGCUACUUUAAAAAAACAGCUACAAAAAUGAAAGCUUGUCAUGUGUUUCUUUUCUACCUCCCCCCAUUAAAAUUUAACAUGAAAAUUUAAAAAAAAUGUUUAAAGAAAAAAUGAUAUCUGAGUAUGUUAGACCAAUUUCUGCUUCCUGAGAAUUUCACAUUACAGUUCCUAUUUUCCCAGACCUCACUGAGACAAUCAGCCAAAACAACAAAAUUUUGCAUGGGGUAUUCUUUUCAGCAUCCUAUAGGAAAGGCAGCUGUUUCCAAACACAUCUGCCCUACUUGCUUGUUAUACAGAUACUUUACCAGCAUUGCAUUCCUUUGCGACUGUGCCUAAAAAUUGUUAAAAUAUUAAAGGGGCAAUUCCUUGAAUUCUUUAUCCUCUUGGGGAAAGUGACUGCUAUGCCCAGCUGUCACAACCCAGGAGGAUUCUUGUGCAAGUAUUUGUUGUUUAUUAACAGGAACUAUAACAAGUAGAAUGGGCCCAAAUCUAGUAUCUGUGUAGAUCUAUAUUUGAAUAUCAUGCUCCCUGCUCUGCUCUCGGUGCCAUUGUAAAUGCAGAGUAAUUACACCUAUUUCACUGGAGUUAAUGAGGUAUGUUCCAGGGAAGCUGACAGAAGAACUUUAUCCUGCUAUUUGAAAAGAUUCGAUAAGUAGCCCAGAUAAUUAAAAAACCAAACGUGAUGGAUUGAAAACUUGAUCUGGAUUUGAGAGUUCACAAAACUCAUGGAGCGCACCCACACAAGCAAGCACGUGCACCUGCGGCAGCUCAAAUAGAAGCGGUGCAUAUUUGAACUGGGGCUUUUUGCCUUGGCGCACGUGCUUGGACAUGCACUUUGUUGUGGAGCAAAUUGUGCCACUUGGGGCAACCCUGCCUGGCUCCUCCCGAAUCUGCAGCCAGAGGGAGCUAGAGCCCAGGGCCAGCACCUGUGCUGUCCCCAGCGGUAUAAAAAGCUGCUCUGUCCUGGCCCCAUCAGAACAAAAAGCUUCCCUGGCAAGCAGCUCAAGGCUACUCACUCUCAGGAGCUUCUGGGGGUGGCUUCCAUGGAGCCAUCGCCACAGGUGUGUAUGUGGCGAGCUUCACGGACACCCCAGUCUCCUGCCCCCUCUGUGGGCAGAGGGAGACCCUGGCGCAUAUGACCCUUGAGUAUGCCAGGCUGCAGCCCCUCCACCUCCACCUCCAGAGCCUCCUCUUGAGGUACUGGUUGAAUUUCACCCCCUACCUUUUUGAUUUUGGUCACCCCAUCCAUGGCCCCACCAAGUCCCAGGACCUCCUGAUCAAUCUCCUCCUGGCCCUGGCUAAGUGGGCGCUGUAUUUGACUAGUAAGGAGGCUCUGGACAGGAAGGUGCCUGGAGAUUGUGGGGCCAUUUUCCUCUCACUUGUCCGUGCUUGUCUCCAGGCAGAGCACCAGUGGGCAGUGUCCACCAGCUCCUUGAAUGCCUUUGAGGACCAGUGAGUGCAGCCUGGGGGGCUCUGCUCAGUGUCCUCCUCAGGUGUACUUAUUUUCACGUUUUGACUCUGACCCACACAACACUCCUAUCCUGUUUUUUGCCUUUGUUGUCCCAAGAAUUCUGUUGCAUCUUUCAUCCAUUGGCCCCACACAGUAGGAGCCAAGGUGGGCCUUAGAACCCAUGAUACUUGAAGGAUACAAAUAGACAGGAGCUUCUGGGGCCCAGCUACUGGGUACCUGGGGACACUACCCCUUGUGCCAGCUGGACUACAGCAGCAAUAUCCCAAAUCCAUUUUUAAAAAUACCCCAGAAUCCAUGUUUUUCCACAAUUAAAACAAAAGACCACUUUACACACACACACACACACACACACACACACAUCUAGAGAAAGAGAGUGAGCAAUCAGUUGGGCAAUGCUUUAUUGGUAUAUUUACGAUGUUAAAGCAAAGUGGAAGCCUACCAGUGUCUCUAACAUCAUGAUAAAAUAAAUUCUAAAUACCUAUA
This is a long non-coding RNA of Alligator mississippiensis (American alligator), 4251 nucleotides long. RefSeq lists it as uncharacterized. Lineage: Eukaryota; Metazoa; Chordata; Crocodylia; Alligatoridae. The transcript has 2 exons. The record is from RefSeq and is a predicted model, not a curated record.